UACGUAGGUGGCAAGCGUUGUCCGGAAUUAUUGGGCGUAAAGGGCUCGCAGGCGGUUUCUUAAGUCUGAUGUGAAAGCCCCCGGCUCAACCGGGGAGGGUCAUUGGAAACUGGGAAACUUGAGUGCAGAAGAGGAGAGUGGAAUUCCACGUGUAGCGGUGAAAUGCGUAGAGAUGUGGAGGAACACCAGUGGCGAAGGCGAAUCUCUGGUCUGUAACUGACGCUGAGGAGCGAAAGCGUGGGGAGCGAACAGG
This 253-nucleotide ribosomal RNA is filed under the name uncultured bacterium. RNAcentral's name for it is "partial 16S ribosomal RNA". It matches the Rfam family "Bacterial small subunit ribosomal RNA", at positions 524 to 776 of the family's 1533-position model. The record is from RNAcentral.